Molecule: ribosomal RNA, 253 nt
Filed under: uncultured bacterium
Lineage: Bacteria
Description: partial 16S ribosomal RNA
Rfam family: Bacterial small subunit ribosomal RNA
Source: RNAcentral
UACGUAGGGUGCAAGCGUUGUCCGGAAUUAUUGGGCGUAAAGAGCUCGUAGGUGGCCUGUCGCGUCGGCUGUGAAAACUCGGGGCUCAACUCCGAGCUUGCAGUCGAUACGGGCAGGCUAGAGUUCGGCAGGGGAGACUGGAAUUCCCAGUGUAGCGGUGAAAUGCGUAGAUAUUGGGAAGAACACCUGAGGCGAAGGCGGGAUGCUGGGCCGACACUGACGCUGAGGCGCGAAAGCCAGGGGAGCAAACGGG